GGCGCGCUGGAGGAGGGCGAGUACGGCGCUGGCUGGGUCGAAGGCGGAGGCAUCUACAAGGGCUCCUUCCGCCCUCGCGAUCCCAAAGGGGACCGCAUCACCGUCUCCGUGAAGCGCCUCAACCAGCAGGGUCUCCAGGAAGUAAAGAAAAAAUCACCUCCUCCUCUCAAGCUGCUCAGGGGACCAUCAUUUUUGUCAAAGCAUUGCCAACUUCAGUUUAGCUGCAAGUGAUAUGGAUUUCAAGCUCGGCAAACCGCAGAGUACAACAGAAAGAAGGUUGUGCAAGCGAUUUUCUCUAUGUUCUCUAGUUCCUAUUUAGUCGUGGAAAGAGUGCAAGUAUUGAAGGUCGUGCAAGCUCCAGGUUUGUCAGAUUAUAGGGGAGAAGAUGGCUUCCAGGUGGCUAGGUGAAGUUUUGACACGGUGGUAGAUAGUUUGUUCGCUCAGGCUGGCACUCUCGUGCCUGGUGGAAUCUGUGGGAUCUCCGGAGCUAUUUCCAGCGCGCCCUCCUCUUAUGCAAGGCGCCAAGUCAGUCUCCGCCUCAAUGUGCUUCUCAGAGAGCCUACAAUGGCUUCAUAAAAACAAUCCCGGCAUUUCUUUAGCUAAUGGUUUCGAUCGGUGCAUGACAAAGGUUGGAAAAUUCUGCUUCAAGCCUUGCAGUAACCAUUCAGCAAGGAGAAAUACUACCUGGCAAGGCAUCUGUAAUAGCACCAACCAUUUUAGAGAGAGGGGAGACAUCUACAGCUGAAGGAAUGGAAAUGAUAGAGCGUGUUGGAAAGGAGACAAUGGAACUGAUCAUUGAAGAGACUGGUAUGGAAAUUGAUAAAGGUACCGACGAAGGUGAGCAGCAGACAGAAGAGGAGCAGUUUGAAGAAGUCUUGUUUGACUGGUUAGAAAUCUUUGCCCCUUUGUAGAGGAGCUGGAAGCAUUGUCAAGCCACUAUGCAUUACUAUUUAAUAGGAAAAUGACAAAACUUGUCGCCGAGCAGAAAACAUAUUACGAUGGAAAGAUCAAAGAAAUACAACAGAUUUUUAGUCUUAUUUCCAAGACUGGGGAAAAUUGACCAGACUCUUACAAAGGAAAGAAGAUUGAAGCAGCUGAUACCGACGGGGAUGCAGAGAUGAAGAAGUUAUGUGACUCAAGUGUUAGCAAGGCUUCGAAAAUGGCUGCAGGAUAUUGUCAGAUAUUUGCUGCCUUGCAGUUUCUCAGCUUCUGACCUCUACUUGGGAAAUCAGUUAUUUAUGCUGCUAAUAAAUCAAAUAAUGAUGAAGAUGUGAAGAUUGAUUGGCCUGAAGAUCCCAUUUCAAAAGCAGAAAUCAUCAGAUAUGUAAGGCGCAGUGCAUCUCUGAGGAUGUUGAAAAGGUCUCCACUAGUUUUACAACAGGUACAUGAAAUGGCCUGAUGCUUAUUCAAAGUAGGACGCGUAAACUUAAAUGUAAAACAUACAUGUUAUUGCAUCAGUAGGAAUCUCAGAUGUUGCUGAAGCUUAUGCUGCAGCGAUCCAAAAGGCUCUUUGCACAGAAGCAUGUUGAUGUCCACAUCAUUCAGUGCAGGAAAAGCUAAAUGCAUAUCCAGCCAUCUGAAAUCCAGAUCAGUGCUGUCAGCAAGUUACAAGUGGCCCUCCAAUACUUAGCCUACGUUGUUGUUUGCAUUCGAUACCAAGUGUAUAUAAUUUUGGAGUGCCUUCAAUGUUGUUAUUGUUAAACACUACGUUGUGUACAUUUUGUGUGGCCGUACGUUCUUCAGGUUUGCCAGAAAUAGGGCCUCUAGUGACGCCAGGUCUUCUGCUUC
This is a long non-coding RNA of Brachypodium distachyon (stiff brome), 1788 nucleotides long. RefSeq lists it as uncharacterized. The transcript has 8 exons. The record is from RefSeq and is a predicted model, not a curated record. NCBI's taxonomy places the organism in Eukaryota, Viridiplantae, Streptophyta, Magnoliopsida, Poales, Poaceae.